CAGGGAGACAACAAAAUGUUUAAUAUUAUUAUUUUGUCACCUUAGGUCGAUCGGUAUCUCACAUUCUUAAUUUAUUAAGGAUUUUAUUUCCUAAGUUUUUUCUAGGUCACACCCAUUACUUUUCCUGGGCCAUUAGCUCAGGUGGUUAGAGCGCACCCCUGAUAAGGGUGAGGUCCCUGGUUCAAGUCCAGGAUGGCCCAUAUCUCUAUGUUGGGGGUAUAGCUCAGUUGGUAGAGCGCCUGCUUUGCAAGCAGGAUGUCAGCGGUUCGAGUCCGCUUACCUCCACUGAUUACCACCUCUUCCAUAAUUAUUAAGGAAAUGUUUUGAGUAGUGAUCAAAUUCUGAACGAAUCUAGCUUCCUAAUGAAUUCAUUAAGAUGCUGGACUCAUUGAAUUAUUUUCAUUGUUUUCAGAGAACCUUGACAACUGCAUAGAUUAUUUUUAAAGACAAUAAGCAUCUUUAUGAUGCAGAUUUAUUAUUUGUGCGAAUGCAUUAAUAACAAUUCUAUUAAGCUGAUGCUUCAAUUAUGAAGUUAUU
This 537-nucleotide transfer RNA is filed under the name uncultured Prochlorococcus sp. RNAcentral's name for it is "partial 16S-23S ribosomal RNA intergenic spacer". The stretch from base 213 to 285 matches the Rfam family "tRNA". Lineage: Bacteria; Bacillati; Cyanobacteriota; Cyanophyceae; Synechococcales; Prochlorococcaceae. The record is from RNAcentral.